UCUUUUCUUAAAAUCAUAAACUGAAUAAAUAACUAUUUAUCCUUUAAAAUUCAAUAACUAAAAAGUCUUUAAUACUUCGCAACGGACAUUAUUCAAUAAUCAAAACAGUCUUUGGCACAAGGCCUCAUCAUUAAUAUCUCAUACAAAUCCGAUCAACAUCUUAUUCAUGAAAAUUCUUUAAGCAAUACGUAAGGAAUAGAAAGACAACAUUAAAAUUCCCAUCCCGUUACGUAUCGGAGCACCUAAAGACACACACGAGAGCUAAUCCACUCACAACAGCAACUUAAACUCGAUCACCUGCAAGUUACUCAUACGAAGAGCAACAUUUUCAAGCAGAAGGGGUGAGAUUUCACAAAACAAUAAUAUCAAGCAUAUAAUUCAAUAAUUAUAUUUAACAACACAAGUAACUUCAUCUAUUAGUAAUAAUAAUUCUUCAUGUAUAAUUCUUAAUAGUCCAACCAACUUCUAAUUAUCAUUUACUUCAUAUUCAUCACAUUAUAACAUCAUCAUAUAACACGUAUUAACCAAAUCAUAACAACAUAGAUCAUCACAUCAUACUCAUAGUUCAUAUUCAACAUAACAACAUCUUAAUCUUAAUUCAUAUACGACAUAACAACAUCUUAAUUCGUAAUAACAUUUCUCCACCAAGCAUCUCAUGAAUAGAAGACAACUUAUCAACUUAACAUAACCAUCAUCAAGUACAUUUAACAACUCCUAGAUAACAUCAUGUAAUCAUCAUCACUAAUAACUUAAACUACACAAUAUAAUCAUCACUUAAUAAUAAUAAUUAUAUACAUCAUAACAUAAACAUCUUCUUAUAAUAAUAUAACAACAACAACAUAUUCAUCAUUUUAUAAUAAUAUAACAACA
Molecule: long non-coding RNA, 870 nt
Filed under: Medicago truncatula (barrel medic)
Lineage: Eukaryota; Viridiplantae; Streptophyta; Magnoliopsida; Fabales; Fabaceae
Description: long non-coding RNA (MTRU_LNC002507)
Source: RNAcentral